GUAAGAUUUGUCUCUCUUUCCUUGUUCGGUUCUGAUUGAUAUUAACUGUUUUGUAACUCGUGAAAACAGAGAUGAAUGUGAUCGCUGCUUAUUUGCUCGCUGUGUUGGGGGGCAAGACCAGAAUCGAAGACAUCAAGAGCAUCCUUGGCGCCGGUACCUCUUUUUGCUCUCUUUGCUUCAUUUAAGCAUUGUGUUGUUAAACAUAUGCCCAAAAUUUGUGUCUUUCUGAUUGAUUAGUGUUGUUGAUUUCGAAAUUCAUGUUCUGUAUUCCUACUUUACCAUGUGGGUUUUCAAUUUUGAGACUUAGCAAUAGCAUUUUCUAUUAUGUAACUCUACCGUAGCGUUUUGUUUGUUAUUACUUAAGACUCAAUCCAAUGAAAAUGAUUUAUUACUGACUACAAUGGAUUGGGGCUCGAGGAAUUGGGUUUAAAUGCUAUGCGUUUUGAGUUGUUGAAAUCUGUUUUAGGAUUAACAUGACUUGUAUUUAGAAGCACUUUUGUUCGUAUACAUUUUUCACUCAUUUUCCAUUGUUAUUACAACAUAUUGAACCUUGUGGUUUUUCUUUUUCCCAAGUGUUUCUAGUAUUUGCAUUAUCCAUCUGCAAUGAAUCUUAGAGCAAUUAAUAUUGUAAAUCGGGAUUGUUAUGUGUAUUUUGAUCAGUUGAUUGAGUAGAACUGUGCAUGUAGAGGGUCGGGUUUUAAUGUUCAUAGUGAUAACACAUUCAUCUUUUUCACAGUUGGUGCUGAAGCAGAUGAUGACAGGCUUCAGUUUCUUCUCAAGGAAGUUCAGGGAAGCUGCUCUUGAUUUGGUAGCUAUGAUGUCAGUGGAGAAUUAUGUUUAAUUUUUAACUUCUCUGUAUAUGUUGCAUAAGGACAAAUUUUAGGAUUAAGGACUGAUGUCGAAUUCAAUUUGGGGCAAAUCUCAGACACAUGAGCCAAGCCUUGGGCAUAGACAUAUCAUAAUCGUUUCUUCAAUCGCAUAUCAUUUGCCUUCGUACAGUCGUGAUUCAUGCUAAAGAGGU
Molecule: long non-coding RNA, 1021 nt
Organism: Rosa chinensis
Lineage: Eukaryota; Viridiplantae; Streptophyta; Magnoliopsida; Rosales; Rosaceae
Exons: 3
Source: RefSeq, a predicted model, not a curated record